UACAGAGGGUGCGAGCGUUAAUCGGAAUUACUGGGCGUAAAGCGCACGUAGGCGGCUUGGUAUGUCGGGUGUGAAAUCCCCGGGCUCAACCUGGGAACUGCAUUUGUGACUGCAUGGCUGGAGUGCGGCAGAGGGGGAUGGAAUUCCGCGUGUAGCAGUGAAAUGCGUAGAUAUCAGGAGGAAUACCGAUGGCGAAGGCAGGUCUCUGGGCUAACACUGACGCUCAUGCACGAAAGCGUGGGGAGCAAACAGG
This 253-nucleotide ribosomal RNA is filed under the name uncultured bacterium. RNAcentral describes it as "partial 16S ribosomal RNA". It matches the Rfam family "Bacterial small subunit ribosomal RNA", at positions 524 to 776 of the family's 1533-position model. The record is from RNAcentral.